GCUUCGGCUACCACUUACAGAUGGACCCGCGGCGCAUUAGCUAGUUGGUGAGGUAACGGCUCACCAAGGCAACGAUGCGUAGCCAACCUGAGAGGGUGAUCGGCCACACUGGGACUGAGACACGGCCCAGACUCCUACGGGAGGCAGCAUUAGGGAAUCUUCCGCAAUGGACGAAAGUCUGACGGAGCAACGCCGCGUGAGUGAUGAAGGUUUUCGGAUCGUAAAGCUCUGUUGUUAGGGAAGAACAAGUACCGUUCAAAUAGGGCGGUACCUUGACGGUACCUAACCAGAAAGCCACGGCUAACUACGUGCCAGCAGCCGCGGUAAUACGUAGGUGGCAAGCGUUGUCCGGAAUUAUUGGGCGUAAAGGGCUCGCAGCGGUUUCUUAAGUCUGAUGUGAAAGCCCCCGGCUCAACCGGG
Molecule: ribosomal RNA, 420 nt
Filed under: Bacillus subtilis
Lineage: Bacteria; Bacillati; Bacillota; Bacilli; Caryophanales; Bacillaceae
Description: bacterial SSU rRNA
Rfam family: Bacterial small subunit ribosomal RNA
Source: RNAcentral